CCGACCUUAGCUCAGUUGGAAGAGCAUCAGACUGUAAAUGGUUGAAUUAUCUGGGUGUCGUGCGUUCGAUCCGCACAGGUCGGA
Roridomyces roridus is the source of this 84-nucleotide non-coding RNA. The record is from the annotation of a GenBank genome assembly. NCBI's taxonomy places the organism in Eukaryota, Fungi, Basidiomycota, Agaricomycetes, Agaricales, Mycenaceae.